GGCCUUCUGGGUUGUAAACUGCUUUUGUCAGGGGAUAAAAAGCUCGUGCGCGAGAACUUGAAUGUACCUGGCGAAUAAGCCACGGCUAACUACGUGCCAGCAGCCGCGGUAAUACGUAGGUGGCAAGCGUUGUCCGGAUUUAUUGGGUUUAAAGGGUGCGUAGGCGGUCCUGUAAGUCAGUGGUGAAAUACGGCAGCUCAACUGUCGAGGUGCCAUUGAUACUGCGGGACUUGAGUGUUGAUGAGGUAGGCGGAAUUGACGGUGUAGCCGGUGAAAUGCUUAGAUAUCGUCAAGAACACCGAUAGCGAAGGCAGCUUACCAAGCAACAACUGACGCUGAGGCACGAAAGUGUGGGGGAUCAAACAGGAUUAGAUACCCUGGUAGUCC
This 387-nucleotide ribosomal RNA is filed under the name uncultured bacterium. RNAcentral describes it as "bacterial SSU rRNA". It matches the Rfam family "Bacterial small subunit ribosomal RNA", at positions 413 to 796 of the family's 1533-position model. The record is from RNAcentral.